Long non-coding RNA from Girardinichthys multiradiatus, 1431 nucleotides. RefSeq lists it as uncharacterized. The record is from RefSeq and is a predicted model, not a curated record. NCBI's taxonomy places the organism in Eukaryota, Metazoa, Chordata, Actinopteri, Cyprinodontiformes, Goodeidae. The transcript has 3 exons.
CGGUAAUGGGUUCAUACAACCCAGCUACAUCCAGAUUCAGCUAAAGAAAAUUCAUCUUUUACUGCAACUGAGCAUGACACAGCAUGGAUCAAUCUUCCUUGUAUCAACGGUUCAGGCUGGUGGUGGUGAAGUUCAGAGGAGAAUCGGCAUAUGGGUUUGAGUUUAUAGAAAGGCAACAACAGCUCAAAUAACCACUCGUUACUACCAAGGUAUGCAGAGUAGCAUCUUGAAGCAGAGCGCACAGUUCCGCUGACACUGCAGCUUCUGCAUGGGGUGCAGGAGGAACAGUGACCCGAUCCAGAGGCUGUGGAAUCAGGGGAACUGGAGGAAAACCACAAUGGAGCAUUUUCAGCCAUGGACUUUGAGGGAAAUUGUCCGUUCCUAACAGCGGAUCUUCCUGUGGGCUUAGUGACAACCAUAGCUGGCCUGGCACUGCCUGUUUUCCCGUGUAGCGAGCAGAUGCCCUCUGCUCUGGCCGCACACAGGUCGUUGUGCUGCAUCAUUAUAAAUGAUCCAGCUGCUGAUGUUUUUUUCUUCUGUUAUGUUCUGCUCCUGCUUUUCUGGACUGUUAGUUUGUAAGGCUGGGUCGUCACUGUUCACAGCAGCAAGUUUGUCAUCUCAGCGUCCGGCCUGAUGAGAUUAUUUAUCCCCCUGUUCAGGCCUCUGAAUGCGUAUUGACGCAUGCCGAAGGCCGAGUUUGAAGUUGUUUUGCGAGCAGAUGUUUUAUGUUUGUGGUCCGGAUGGAUCCAGUGAAGCAAAUACUACACUUUGCUUCAGCUUUAACCCACUAGUGACAGCCUUAAAGGGUUAAAAAUAGAAUGGGGUUCUAUUUCGUUACAUACUGUAACCCCAGAUACUACGAGAAUAGGCACAGCCCUUUAAGGUCUGGGCUUCACAGGUUGCUAAAGGCAGAAGAAAAACACUAUUUGGGAACCAUUUGUCCAGUCUCAACAUCAUUUAUCCUCAGUGAGACUGGGGUGAGCCCCACUCAGCAGGUAGCAGGAAGAAUAAAUAUAGUGGUCAAAAUAAAUAAACUGAUGUAAAGGCCAAUUUUUAGAGGGAACAGGAGGAAAAAUGGUUCUAGGUUAAAGCUCUCACUGUUUCAAGACCCUAAAAACGCCACUUAGGUACGCAUCAACAUUACCCUGUGACAAAACUGAGUACAUGCACCAAAAUUCAAGUACAAGGCGACUCAACCUCUUACUGGUGGGAGUGUGGAACUCUGCCGCAAGUGAUACACAGCCAUUGUUAAGUAUAGUGGUGGCUCUGUGAUGGUGUGGGCCUGUUUAUCUUCUGUUAUAGUGCCUGACAUGACAAACUCUUUCAAAUAAUAAAGGUUCAAUAAAAAUCCAGAGCUCCACUGCCAAGAAUUUUUUUUAAUGGGUUGUCAUAUAGUUUUCUUGCAUAUUUGGCUGAAUCCAAACAGAGAUG